AGGCCUUGGUCAACUGGUAACACCAAGAUGGAAGAGAUCCACUACAAAGUGCAAGAGCAUCCUGGAUCUGUCGUGCCAAUUUCGGAGUGAGCUUACUAUUGACAAAUUCCUCAGAAGGGAUUUUGAUACCCGUAGUACCGAGCUCAUCUAGACUAGAAAUUUUUCCUUCAGAGAAAUCAUCAAUCAUGGACAGGACUCUCAAACGGGGGGCAAGCUGAUUCAGCGCCUCCAAUACACGUAAGAGGUACAAAAUACUGUAAGUAGGGUUACUUUUCUCCAGAUCACAAGGAAGUUCUCCCUGCAAUAUACUAUCUAACAAUGAUGCU
This 326-nucleotide unclassified non-coding RNA is filed under the name Hevea brasiliensis (rubber tree). The record is from RNAcentral. Lineage: Eukaryota; Viridiplantae; Streptophyta; Magnoliopsida; Malpighiales; Euphorbiaceae.